This 3942-nucleotide long non-coding RNA is filed under the name Brachypodium distachyon (stiff brome). RNAcentral's name for it is "long non-coding RNA (BDIS_LNC002855)". Lineage: Eukaryota; Viridiplantae; Streptophyta; Magnoliopsida; Poales; Poaceae. The record is from RNAcentral.
UUGCAGGCAGCACGGCGGGGCGAUGGCGCAGGACGACCCAGUUGUUUCCGCUCAGUGGCUGCAGCGGCACCUAGGGCAGCCUGACAUCAAGGUGAAGAAUCUCUCAUCUACUUCGCGUUUCCAUCUCCAGUUCCGAAAGGGAUUAUUUGCCUGUUCUUAUCAUCCAGUCAAGGGGUUGGCGUGUGUGGAAUUUUAUUUUACUGAUUAUUAAGUAUUAACAGAAAGAAGAAACUGGGAUAUGUUUAUCAAUGUGAUUUUACUUCCAUUGACUUUAGAGAUUGGAGAACGCUGUGUUUUGUUCCUUCCUUUUAUAGUACUAUUUGACUACUCCGUUUCAGGUACUGGACGCCUCCUGGCACAUGCCACAAGAGAGCAGGGACCCAUGGCAAGAGUACAAGGUUUCUGGAUUUAGUUCUACCGUGUUUUAUUUCCCCCAUUUUCGAGUGACAAUGUCGUCCCCAGCUCAUGUAUUCUGAUACGCCCAGGUGGCCCAUAUUCCCGGCGCGCUGUUCUUCGACAUCGAUGGCAUUGCUGAUCGGAUGACUGACGUGAGAAAUGUUUCCAGAUAUUAAUUCCUUUCCUGUUUACGUGAUCAUUUGACUCAAGUAAAUGAGAAGCAAUGAUUUCUUGGUGCUUUUGGCAAUUGCACGAUACAAUGCCUUUCUGUCUUUUAAGCUAUGCCUACGAAUAUAGAUAUAUGACUUAUUUUUACUGGAUGCAAUCGUUUCAGUUGCCACACAUGCUGCCAUCAGCAGAGGCUUUUGCCGCAGCAGUUUCCGCACUCGGUAUCAGAAACCAUGAUAAAGUCAUUGUUUAUGAUAGCAAGGGCUUCUACAGCGCGCCUCGUGUUUGGUGGUAAGCAGAACGCAUGGAUUCAGUUUAACAAAAUGAUGAAACUGAAUGUUGCUACUGCACAAAGAAAGUUAAGCUGUCAAUUUGUAAUGUGUCAAAAGUUCAUGGUAAUAUAUGUUUCUUAUUUUAUUUAGUGCACGUGAAGGUACAUCUUUCCUCUUUUGUAGAAUUUCUCAUCUAUACAAGUUGAUCAGAAUUAAUUACUUAUCAACCCAUUGUUUUUUGAUGGUUCAUGGCUUACUUCAAAGACUGAAAACAUGAAAGAGUACUAUGUGUAUGUCUGUCAACUUGAAACACUGCACUCUCACAGUUUUACCUAAUUUGUUGUGUUGCGGACAGAAAAUUGAGCAAGUCUCCGUUUUCAAUAACAACAAAAAUGAAUGAAUUAAUGCAUAAACGUUGGAAAUAUACCUGGCAAACAUGCCAGACUAGCCAUUCUCUCAUUUCAAGUAAAUGCUCUACGUCUAGUCUUCUACAUGCAAAAGUUGAUGAUAUUUAUGCACACUUCAUAAAUUAACAGGAUGUUCAGAAUUCUUGGCCACAAUGAAGUUUGGGUCUUAGAUGGAGGUUUACCUCAGUGGCAAGCUUCUGGAUACAAUCUUGGAAGUAACUGCCCUGAAGAUGCAAUUCUGAAGUCUAAAGCUGCCAAUACUGCUGUUGAAACUACUUACAAUGGUGAAUUGGUGAGAUAGCUUUCAAGAUGGUCUGACUAUCUUACUCCCUUUUUUUUCUUAGUGAGUAAUCAUGGUUCCAUUCUUCUCAGGAAAGUGCUGCCACAUUUCAGACGGAAUUUCAACCUCAGCUACUCUGGACACUAGAAAAGGCUAGCUCUCCAUUAUAUCUGAACACUUAAAAUUUCUUCAUUUUACCUGAAAACUUUCUUGUGUUUAUAUAGAUACGGGUAAAUGAUAAAUCUGAUCAUGAAUUGCUCCUUCAGGGUUAAUUGGGAUUAUUCCUAUCUUAUUAUCUUUCUUUCGACCUUUUUGGAGAAAAUCCUAGCUUUAGUAAAAUAAAAAAUUCAAAGAUUUAUUGACAUAAACACUAAUAUCUUGAAGAUCCACAUUUGUGUUGAGCUGCUUUGUUCAUGUAACAGGUCAAACACAAUGUAGCUGCGCAGACUCACCAAGUAGUUGAUGCCCGAUCAAGGGGCAGGUAACAUCUCCUAAUUUUGACUCUUUGAAUAUUACUCUGGUUAGAAGAGACGAAUGUAGAAGCUCUGAUCAUAAUUAAAUGUAGCAUGAUUACUCUUCUUGCAACAAAUUAGUGGAUCACGAUUUCCUUCAAAAAGAAAAGGUUGGGCAAUAGUGUUUUUAUUUCAAACAUAUACGAUGAUUUAGCUCACUAUCUAGAUUAAUGGUUAUUGUUUUAAACAUGAAUCUGUAUUGUCUUGGUUUUUGCCUUUUCUCUAUCGCCUAUUUUUAAAACUUAAUGUAACUGAUACAUGCAUUGUGUGACAACUUGUGCCAUUUGUUAUUGUUGAUCUUCCCCUAAAGUUACCUUCUUAUUGUUGUGAUGGAAAGCACUGAAAUUUCAUAAUCAGAUUUGAUGGCAUAGAACCAGAACCAAGGAAAGGAGUAAGAAGUGGGCAUAUACCUGGAACUAAAAAUGUUCCAUUCCCUGAGGUGGGUAUUAGUGCAAACUGCAAAUAUGCAAUAUAGUGCAUGAUACUUGGACCGUUGGACGACAAUAAAUAGCUAAUGAUACAUUGUCGGUCUUGCAGAUGUUUGAUGGUGCACCAAAGCUUCUCCCUGCAGAUGAACUAUCUAAAAAGUUUGAGCAAGCAGGUCUGAAUUAUGUUUCAUCUCACUGUUCUAGUCUGAAAUUCCUAGCACACCCAUGUCCUUUUUUACCAUGGAACAACCGAAGUAAACGACUUUCCCAAUUUUAUACAAUACCGGAAGCUGAACAACAUUGAUUUAUACUUCAACCAUGUAGAUUUUCUGAUCAAAUAAUUAAAACUUAUUCAGGAAUAUCAUCCGUACAUCGUGUAUGAAAGUUUCACCACACAAUAGCAAUAAUAGCACCCAGUUUGAUGUUUCUUCAGGAAUUUCACUUGAUCACCCGAUUGUCGUCACAUGUGCAUCUGGCGUAACUGCCUGCAUAGUUGCUCUGGUCUGGAAACCUUUGCCCGCUCUUCUCUAAUGGUGCCAUUGACUCCACAAAUCAGGCUCUAACAAUAUCUGUUUACAGGGGCUCUAUAGAGUUGGGAAGCAUGAUAUUCCAGUUUACGAUGGAUCUUGGACAGAAUGGGAAGCACAGCCAGAUAUUGAUUACCCAAAAGUUACUUCCACUGGCUCUUGAAUCAAGAAUUCUGAAGCAGGUUCAGUUUAGAUUGUCGGCAUGAUGUCUCUGGCAAGCUUUGCACUUGAAUCAAGGCGAAGGUUAUAGGGGAAAGAAAUACCCACUGUACUAUGGCCAUGCAAAUGGGGCACUUUUGCCACACAAAAACGUUAGACCAUAUCUUCAGCAUCAAACUCAUGUCUGAAGCUGUACUUAAAGUUACUAAUGAAAAAUUCUUGGCUCGAAACAAGAUUGAUCGUUUUUUAUUUAUUUUUUUGCUUUGGAGUUGCACCUGUGUUGAUUAUCAUGCUUAAAUUCUUACAACUGCAGCUCAUUACUACUCUAAUUUACUACUCCAAUCCUUGCGCCCGAACCUCGAUUAAAAAAAAUUCCUUCCGCCAGAACGGCAAGUAUUUCCUUUUAUUUUUGUCGCCGCGCUGACACCCUUUGUUGGCUGCGGCUGCCUCACGGGUCCAAAUCGACUCAUCUUCUCCGGCAGCGGCGGCGGCCUUCCUCUCUGCCCUUCCGCUUCCCUCUUGGAGGCCCCCUGCCCGGCUCCCCACCGCACCCACCUGGAGGGCAGCACGGCGGGCCGAUGGCGCAGGACGAUCCAGUUGUUUCCGCUCAGUGGCUGCAGCAGCACCUAGGGCAGCCUGACAUCAAGGUGAAGAAUCUCUCAACUACUUCGCGUUUCCAUCUCCAGUUCCGAAAUGGAUUAUUCGCCUGCACCGUAGAAAGAUGAUACGGAAUACUAACCUGUUCUUAUCAUCCAGUCAAGUCAAGGGGUUGGCGUGUGGAUUUUUAUUUUAC